UCAUGCUUGUGAAAAUGAAGGAUAGUUGUGCCUGCACUACAAGAAGGGUGAUUUAGGCAAAAGUGUUCAUCAGACAACAAGAACUUGAUCUUCCCAUUUGCCACAAGCUGGUCCUUGGUCUGGAAAAGUAGCUGCAGGAUACUGCCUGCUGAAGGAGCAUAGGAUUUAGGAUCUCUCAGCACCACAGUACCAAGAGUUUGGGACACACCAAAGCUUUUAUGUUGCAUCUAAUGACCUCCUUUGGGCAAGCAUGUAAGGAUCUUCCGCAGAGCUGCCCUCAAGACUACGUGUUGGAAAAACGACAUCAGAUGCCAUGCAGCAAACAUGACAAGAGUAUGAAUUAGCGGAAAGCUUCCCUGGGGA
RNAcentral lists this long non-coding RNA (363 nucleotides) under Anser brachyrhynchus (Pink-footed goose). Its description in RNAcentral is "lncRNA (ENSABRG00000008337.1)". The record is from RNAcentral. Lineage: Eukaryota; Metazoa; Chordata; Aves; Anseriformes; Anatidae.